UUGUGUGAUGACUGUCUGUUGUGUUGCCUCAUGUUUGCUAAUAAAUCCCACGUUACCCGACUACCGCUUCUGUCCUGCUUGCCCCGCUCCGUGCCCGAGCGAAACGCCAUGACAUAUAUUUUUGUAAAAAUUUUUGUAAUCCUGGCAGUUCCUCAUAAUUUAAGUAGUUACGUUAAUGUGUAUAUUUCCUAAUCUCGUGUCAGUGAAUUGCGAAACCUAAUGUUUGUAAUGUUGUUUGUAAGCUUAUCUUGCUAUGGACAUUCCUGUCGAUGUUCUUUUACCAUACUUUCUAUAAUUAUUCAUUAUCGCUAACAAAAAAGAAAUAUGAACUGCAGGAGUACUAGUACUUUUUACAACGAUUGAAGAGUUGCAACCUUUAAUUUUCAGACGUGAGAGACUUCACUGAGGAAAUACGAUAAAAAGACAUCUCAAAUUUUGUAUAAACGGGGUCCGGCUGGCUGAGGAUGCGGCGACGGUGUCUCUGGGAGGUCAUUCAGGUGCUGGCUGAAGGAUGGCUAAAUGACUGAUGAUUACAGGAGGAUGGCUUUUGCUAGAAAUCCACGUCCAUCCAUCCAUUUUCUGUACCCGCUUGUCCUACGCAGGGUCAUGAGGGGUGCAAAACCCAUCCCAGAAGCUACCGGUACAGGCAGAGAACUACCCCAACCCACUUCAGCAAAUCCUUACCCAACUCCCUCCAUCCAUCCAUCCAUAAUGAAGGAAUCAUUCUUUUGAACUGGUUCUUUUCAGCAUAUCGGUCAAACGGUAUUUCAAAUCCAAAAGAAUCCAUCUUUUGUACAUCCACAUAUUGCACAGGUCAAAGUCUUAGAUUCUAAUAAUAUAUAAAUUAUCAUAUAAAAACAGCCUCUUUUAAUUCACUUACAUUUGCUUUUCAUAGACUGUCUGUAGCCAUGUUGCCUUCAGUGCCCCUCUGCAUAACGUAAUCUGUUGUAUUUCUGCUGUGUCCCUGCUUGGUUUUUCAGUAACACAUUAGUCGUGUUAUAGCAGGACUGACUGUAAAUGGAAAAAUACAUUUUAAUUUAGGAUAAAUACAGUUGAUUCCCAUUUCAGCAGAAUACCCAGUUUUGUUUUCAAUAUCAUUACCAUCUACAAAAAACAAGUGAAACAUAUUAGGGAUGAUUUACUCUGUAAAUAUGGAUCCAGCAAGAGACAUAGAGGAAGAAAGUGGUUGGGGGGGGGGGGGGAACAAAUACAUGGAAGAAUAAGAGGAAGCUAUGCGAUUGGAAUAAGAGCAACAGUGAAUGUCUGAAGCCAGAGAAGGAGCAGCCUUGUAGUGUUUGCGGCUUUAUCCAAAGGCAACUUGGUGUCACACCAAGCAGACAUCGACCCAAACGGCACAAGGCACCUCAUCCCGUUCUUAGAUGAGCAAGAUGGAAGAGAGAGAUGGAGUGAGAAGAAACGUGCAGCCCUUUGCUGUUCUGUGGUGUAACAUGACAUGUCACCUCCCCGCUGCAGUCACAGGCUUCUUUGUGGCACCUCCCUGGAUGUCCUCACUUAUCCUGUCAACACGCUCCCCCUUCCACAACCGAAAAUUAAGGAUAUAUUUACAGUGUGGAGUAAACUAAAUGCCCAUAUUGGAUGCCAUGAAUGCUGGAUGGGUAAAUAUAUUUAUCCUGAGAAAAGCAGAGAUUGGAUUAGGCAUGGUAAAGGACACCUUCGCAGGUUUAACGCCAGGGAAGAGAGGAGAAGAAAUGUGGGUGAGAACUUGUGGCUAAAUCCAGGAGUAAUGGUGGGCUAGCAGUAUUAUAUAUGUGUAUGUGAGUGCGUGUGUGUGUGUGUGUGUGUGGAUGUGGUCAUGUUUGUGUUACAUUUUGAGGACCAAAUCCUCAGAAUGUGAUAAAAAAAAAACUUAUAUUAACAUUUUUUUUUUUUCGGUUCCCACAAGAGGAAACUCAGUUUUAAAAAGAUCUGUCAAUGCAAAUCUAAAAAUGACUUGUAUUUUGUUUGGUUGCUUGUUUGGUUAGGGCUGGGUAGAGUUAAGUUUGUCAUUUGAGGAUUAGAGCUUUCCCCAGACAAAUGAAUUGAGAGUCCCCACAAAAAUAUAAUUACAAACCUGUAUGUGUGUGCAUGCAAGAACGUUGAAGCAUAUUGCAGCAUUUCCAAUUCAGUCCUGAAAUGUAUAGUAUAACACAUUCUAUAGAGGCAUAAGGUGUUACUCUCUAACAGCGCAUUUAUUUAUGCGAAAAAUUUAACAUACCUCAAAGGCAAAAUGAGGCAUCUUUUACUCCUCCCCAUUGCUAGCGUUUUUAGGUCAAUGUGUUAUGUGUGACAAAGUACGCUUGUCGGCUAAGAACUCCUGGCGGUGUUUGGUAGAAUGACUAUUUUGAGACAUGCAUAAAGUAUUUUGGUGGUUCAAUGCAUGUUGGAGGUGAGAUUAACUAUUGGGCCAUGUUGGUAAUGCACGCUGUGUGAAGAGUUUUUAAAGAAUGAUUGCAGUAUUGAUAAACAUGUGUUAGUAGUACUGUAAAACUGUAAAAACUACUUUUUGUGUUAGCAAUUACGAGGGGAAAAUGAUAUAAGUGUCUAAUUUAUUUAUGGUGGCAGGUUACUGUUUCCUGGAAAAUAAAACAGAUUCUGUAGAGGUAUUUUCCAAUUGCAAUUAAAAGAAGUGAAUUGUGAAGCUUUAACAAUAAGACUGGACAGUACAAUCAAAAAUAUUUCCUGAAAUUGGCAACUGUGAAAAAUUAACUUAUUUGGCAUCCCAUGGUAGAAAAAUUGCCAUGAAAAUAGCAGAUGGUAAUGAUUAUACUCAGCCCUCCCAAUGUUCCCUUUAUCACAAAACACCAGUGAAUGCAGGUUUAGGAAAAAAGAAAGCUAAAUAAGGAAGCUGUAGCUCUAUCGCCCCACUGGACGAAAUGCUCUUUUGUUGUUGGUUUUAUGUGCAGGCAAUGAGGUGUGUUGUGAGGCAGUCAUUGGCUCCAGUUAAUGAUUCUGUCUGUCAUUGAAGGGGACAUAGAGCGUGGCACCCCAGAGUUGCUGUAAACAGUGACAGGUUCUCCUAAGUCAUGUCCAUUAUACCGAUGGAGACUUCACUGUUCUGUCUGCUGUCUUAUGUUAUUCAUUGCCCCAUGGUCAUAAGGGGUACCGGUAAGUGGGUCUUAUGGGGAAUAGUGAUAUUGUGGAUAUAAGAUGUGGUUUUGCCUUGUUUAUCAGUUACGGAAAUGAGAAAAGUCUCUCCUUCCUGGGUGUUUAGAUGAGCUUGGGGUUCAUCACUAAAUGUUGACGUUAUUUCAAGCCUGGGAGCCUCUUGCCUCGCCUACAGUGUGCGAGGUUCCAUCUCAUGAUGAAAGGAACAGACGGAGUUGCGACGUGUGUUGUUCAGCUUGACAGCAGUUCAGUGAGCUGCAGAUAUUAUUGCCUUUAAUUGCGUUAUCAGCAAAAAAUAGCACAUGAAGUUUUACUUUAUACUUCCACAACCAAGCAAGCUUAGCGAGAUUUCUUGCUCAAAAUAUUAAUAUCCCCUCUAGCCCCUCCAGUCUUUCAUCAAGUGUUAACAGGAUCCCAGUUCAACAGUAAACUUUUUUGAAUUCCAGGACAACAUGAAAUCUUAAUUAAUAAAACUUGUUGCAAGACAAGGUGCUUUCCGAGAUAUACUGUACUGGCAGAACUUGUAUACAGUCUAUAAUUUCUCUUAUAGCUUCUUAGAACACACUAGAAGGAAAAUAGCUCUUAAAAAAAUCCUAAAUAUUAAAAUUAGACUGUUAAUUUCCAUUGCAUGCUUGUUCCCUCCAUAUCUCAGAGACAUUCUAUUCAAGUGAAAGAAUGUACCUAAGGUGCUGUAGGAAAUAGUGUGUGAAUGCGUGUGUACGUGUGCAUCAGUGACUUGUGACUGCCUUGUGCCCCUACGUCAGAUGUGUUGCUGUCUUCAAAAGGCUCUGGCUGACUGUUACCUCUCGAGGAUAAAGACAUCUGUGGAAGUGAUUGAGUGAGAACGUUCAGCUAGGGAAUUUCACUUAGCGGCGUUCAGGGGCUAUUCUUUACCCGAGGCUAACGUGGGCCAGGCUUACAAAAGCAGAUGGGAAGGAGUAGCAAGCUAGCCGCAGGCUAUUCUUAAACCUGAAUUUAGGCAUUGAAGCCAAAAGUUUAUUAAAUUGCUGUCAGUGUUAUCAAAAUAGAACACCGAGUUAUCAGCUGUCUGUGUUAUCCUCUCCAAAAUGAUCCUCCCACUUUUAUAAUAUGAGGUCAUAAUUUACUCAGUGCUUCAACAGACUACUCCCCCAAAUAAUAAUUAAUAAUGACUGCCAAAUCAAUGUUAAUGACACACAAAGUGGUCCUUGAAAGAGUAUUCUACCUUGAAAAACUAUAAAUAAUUCAUGGUCAUACGGAAUGGAAAUCCAUGAGCUUGGUCAAAACCAUUGAAAUUAUUGUUUGCGGCUAUAAGCAAUCGUUCCUCUGAGCUUGUGUGUAAAAAUCCCAGUUACGCAGUGAGUUUUAUCAAUAAAUAAAGAUGGUGACUGGUGGUUUGGAGGUAGAGAUGGGUGGAGUUCAUGAAAGGACAGCUUGAGAGAAGGUGUAACCUGCAAGGGAAGGGAACGGAGAGACCCAAAUGCAGCGCUGGAAAUCUGAGGCAGGGGUUUGCAGGGAUCCGAGAUUUCACAGGCGUAGCCUGACAACAAGCAGCGGAAAGCACAGGAUGCAGCAUAUAGCUGUGUGUCUGGAGUGGCAUCAAUCAUGCAGUUCUGGGGAGUUCGAAUAAAUACUGCAUGACCUUACAUCACCAUUCUUCCAUACUUUUGUGCGAGAAGUUCUGCUAUCCUUAUAUGUAAUUAUUCUAAGUGUGCUUAUUUGGGAAAAUAAAAGUAUUUACAGUUAACUAUUAAAAGGAAUGAUAGCUCACAAUGGCAUACUUUUCUGGGUGAAAUUCAGACUAGAGUAUAAGCAACCACUUGCUAUGUGAAUACUGUUUUGGUACAAUUUGCUGGAUACUGAAUCUUCAAAUGAAGGGGUAGCAGUGCAGCAUCACAGGCAUAUUCAACGCAGAAAGAUUCUCUA
Molecule: long non-coding RNA, 5010 nt
Organism: Brienomyrus brachyistius
Lineage: Eukaryota; Metazoa; Chordata; Actinopteri; Osteoglossiformes; Mormyridae
Exons: 3
Source: RefSeq, a predicted model, not a curated record